GACGAACGCUGGCGGCGUGCUUAACACAUGCAAGUCGAACGAAGAGCGAUGGAAGCUUGCUUCUAUCAAUCUUAGUGGCGAACGGGUGAGUAACGCGUAAUCAACCUGCCCUUCAGAGGGGGACAACAGUUGGAAACGACUGCUAAUACCGCAUACGAUCUAAUCUCGGCAUCGAGGAUAGAUGAAAGGUGGCCUCUACAUGUAAGCUAUCACUGAAGGAGGGGAUUGCGUCUGAUUAGCUAGUUGGAGGGGUAACGGCCCACCAAGGCGAUGAUCAGUAGCCGGUCUGAGAGGAUGAACGGCCACAUUGGGACUGAGACACGGCCCAGACUCCUACGGGAGGCAGCAGUGGGGAAUCUUCCGCAAUGGACGAAAGUCUGACGGAGCAACGCCGCGUGAGUGAUGACGGCCUUCGGGUUGUAAAGCUCUGUUAAUAGGGACGAAAGGCCUUCUUGCGAAUAGUGAGAAGGAUUGACGGUACCGGAAUAGAAAGCCACGGCUAACUACGUG
RNAcentral lists this ribosomal RNA (510 nucleotides) under uncultured bacterium. RNAcentral describes it as "partial 16S ribosomal RNA". It matches the Rfam family "Bacterial small subunit ribosomal RNA", at positions 28 to 507 of the family's 1533-position model. The record is from RNAcentral.